RNAcentral lists this ribosomal RNA (410 nucleotides) under uncultured bacterium. RNAcentral describes it as "bacterial SSU rRNA". It matches the Rfam family "Bacterial small subunit ribosomal RNA", at positions 350 to 751 of the family's 1533-position model. The record is from RNAcentral.
AGCAGUGGGGAAUAUUGGACAAUGGGCGAAAGCCUGAUCCAGCCAUGCCGCGUGUGUGAAGAAGGUCUUCGGAUUGUAAAGCACUUUAAGUUGGGAGGAAGGGCAUUAACCUAAUACGUUAGUGUUUUGACGUUACCGACAGAAUAAGCACCGGCUAACUCUGUGCCAGCAGCCGCGGUAAUACAGAGGGUGCAAGCGUUAAUCGGAAUUACUGGGCGUAAAGCGCGCGUAGGUGGUUUGUUAAGUUGGAUGUGAAAUCCCCGGGCUCAACCUGGGAACUGCAUUCAAAACUGACUGACUAGAGUAUGGUAGAGGGUGGUGGAAUUUCCUGUGUAGCGGUGAAAUGCGUAGAUAUAGGAAGGAACACCCAGUGGCGAAGGCGACCACCUGGACUAAUACUGACACUGAGG